RNAcentral lists this ribosomal RNA (158 nucleotides) under Lachnaea alpina. RNAcentral's name for it is "5.8S ribosomal RNA". It matches the Rfam family "5.8S ribosomal RNA". From Rfam's summary of the family: 5.8S ribosomal RNA (5.8S rRNA) is a component of the large subunit of the eukaryotic ribosome. It is transcribed by RNA polymerase I as part of the 45S precursor that also contains 18S and 28S rRNA. The record is from RNAcentral. Lineage: Eukaryota; Viridiplantae; Streptophyta; Magnoliopsida; Malvales; Thymelaeaceae.
GACUCUCGGCAACGGAUAUCUCGGCUCUCGCAUCGAUGAAGAACGUAGCGAAAUGCGAUACUUGGUGUGAAUUGCAGAAUCCCGUGAACCAUCGAGUCUUUGAACGCAAGUUGCGCCCCAAGCCUUUGGGCCGAGGGCACGUCUGCCUGGGUGUCACG